This 295-nucleotide unclassified non-coding RNA is filed under the name Hevea brasiliensis (rubber tree). The record is from RNAcentral. Lineage: Eukaryota; Viridiplantae; Streptophyta; Magnoliopsida; Malpighiales; Euphorbiaceae.
AAGGCAAGAACUUGGAUGCUCUUUCAGAAGUGUAUGAAUCAGAUACUAUUUCUCCAAGAAACAAGCCUCCUCCCAUAGAUGAUGGCACCCCAAAUGAGAGUGUUGCAGACGUAUUUGUCCGUGUGACACAACUUAUGUCCAUUCUUGAAACCCAGUAUUCUGGGGAGACAAUCAUUAUUGUCUCUCCAGAUUCUGACAAUUUAACAAUUCUACAAGCUGGUUUAGUCGGACUUGAUCUUCGAAGGCAUAGGGAUCUUUCAUUUGAUCCUGGGGAAGUCAGAUUUGUUGAUACCAG